Heteronotia binoei (common prickly gecko) is the source of this 3684-nucleotide long non-coding RNA. RefSeq lists it as uncharacterized. The record is from RefSeq and is a predicted model, not a curated record. Lineage: Eukaryota; Metazoa; Chordata; Lepidosauria; Squamata; Gekkonidae. The transcript is spliced from 2 exons.
AGAGGUGGAGCAAGUCUGCUGAAGCGAAUCAAGGAUGAUAAAAACUUAAAUUUCUUACCAUUCUCAAGAAGUCUGUGUUCUAGAGGUUUCUAGAGCUCAUUGACUCCAUUGGAAGCAAACCCACCUGAUCAGAAUUCUGGAUUCUGGUUCGUCUGACCUGUAUUUGAGAAUUCUGACAGUAUACUUUGUUUUAUAAAUAAAGAAGGAUUUUAAAAAAACCUUAUCUUACAAAAACUGUGACCUAAUGGCAAUAAUUACCUCAAAUGUGGGCAUUCAUCUUGGUUUUAGCCUUUUUUAAAAACAAACAUGUAGCCAGUUUGAAUUUGGGAUUUAAAAAAUAAAUUAUACUGUCUAUAUGCACAGGAAAAAAAUGUCCAUCCCAGUCAUUGUUGCUUAAGUGAUUCUUUAAAAAUUAUGAAACCAAGGAUUAAAUUACUCUUUUAUGGUUUUUUAAGUAAUUGUAAUGUUAAAGUGCACAUGUAAUUAUAUAUGUUUAUAGCUACUGUAAAAUGCUUCGGCCUCGAAGAUAUUUAAUGAAUCACAUUUUAAACCAAUAUGAACCGAACAAUAGACUGUGGCUACUUAAAAAGAUUUCUGGCUACAUUUUCUAGUGAUAGUGUUUUAUAGUUUACAUUUAAACUGGUACUUUCUAACUAUAAAUGUUCUGUUUUUGACUAUAUCUUCAGAAUUUCUGCUAUCCCUUUAUGUUUUCAUUUUGCCCUUAAAAAAGCUUAAAAGUGUGUCUUCAGUAUGUAUAUUCUGUUCUGAGAUAUAACAUAGUAUUAGAAAGUCAGAUCAGAUACAACAAUUCCAAAGUUAAGGGGGUAAAAACAAAUCACUCCAUGCAUGAUGAAAAUAUAGCAAAUAGAGUCCCAAACCUGACCUAUUUAUUUGUUUUUAAGUUAAGAAAAAAACUCUUUGGGAUAAAUCAGGAAGCACAACAAUUCCUAUUUAUGUAUUCCGUUUUAAGAUCCUAACUUGAACAGAAAUACUUGUCUGAUGAAGACAAAAGGAUAUUCAGAGCAAGAGAUGUGGCUGAGUGACUCAGGGCGAGUUCUCACAGAGAGAUUGUUGUGUGUUUAUGAGCGCUAUAAUCAUGUAAUGUGGAAUUCAUGUUCUUGGAAGGAUCUCGUGGAUAAUGGCAAUCAUGGAUCAUAAGGUGCACCUUUGAAAAUCUCGGAAGCACUGCACUUGGGACGUCUCAUCCCACAUGCCCAGUGUCAAUCAUUUGGCAGCUAGACAUGUGGAAAACUCUUAGUGCAAGAAUACUCAGUAGCACCUCAUGUGCGUAUCAGGAAUGCUGCACUCCCACGUGCAGUAGGGAAGGCUGUUUGGGAAGUCCUUCCAGAAUAAAGCUGUUGUUCCUGAGACAGUUAAUCUGUGGAUUGCUUUGGGAGACAAUGAGAGGCAGACCUAUAAUUUGGUUUUUGUGUGGUUUUAUUCUCUCUAGAUCAACUUUUUAACUUAUCACUCUUCAUCCACUUUGAGCCCCUAAAUUAAAUUAUAAAGAACUUGACCUGCUCCUUGUAAAUUUAAUUUGCCUGCUAGCCAAUGAACAGUAUGGUAGACGCUGUUUCCGUAUUACAGAUUGUAGUGUAUUAUGUGUUUGGAUGUAAAUUGGGGGGGGGGGGGUUGUGUGUGUGUUUGUUACUUUCUUUUAGUCCUACUUAAAUGUAUGAUGGGUUUUUUUCCCUUAACGUCAAGUAACCAAUGAAUAUAUAUGGAAAUGUUGUGCUGAGCAAAGACAAUAAAUUGGCACAAAAAAGAAUUCUGUCUGAAGAGCUGAGCUUCACUAUGGAGCUGACAAUCUCAGCAAAAUUCCUUGCCUUGUUCAUGAGUUACUACUAAGGAAAGGAAGCAAGACAUUGCUGUUAAGCCCUGAUUAUUUUUAACUAAAUAAAUCUUUUCACUGUAUUCAAUGGGACUUCCCCCAGCCCCUUUAGAACAUCCAUUGAAAGCCAUGGUCUUCACAUGAAAGCUCACAUUACCAAAGUGAUAACUUGGCAUAUGGCCGAGUCACCAUUUUGAAAGCCAAAUGGAAGGCUGGCUCAGAGGGUAGGCCUUAAAAGAAUUGGAAGAGGGCCCUUAGGCACAGUUAAGAGCAACUAAACCUUGAAUUGCCCUUAGCAACCCUCUUGUUCUUCCUUCUAUAUCAAAGUUAGGCCUGGAAAUAUUGGCUUGUUCCAGCGUAGGAACUACAGAUUUGUUUGUUAAGCCUGGGCUUAGAGUUUAUACAGCACAAAAGUUUUUUAAAAAAAAAUAGCAAAUCCAUAUUCUGUAGAUUCAGUAGGGUUACAUAUAGCACCCCUAUCCUCAUGAGUAGGACCUCCCAGGCUUCUACUUUGGCAUAGUUACCACACUUCUUUCCUGUUGUUCUCUCUGUUGAGUUCAACUAUUUUUCAAGUGAUGUUUCCAUGGCUAUUCUAAGGCACAGCCAUUUGAGGUACAGAAAUUAUCUCCUCAACUCUUUGCUUCACCAGCUAAGUAAAUAUAUGAGGCAUUUUCUGUGCCAAAAUUUUACAGACAGAAUUGGAAUGUAUAAACUGUAAAUUUGAUACCAAAACCAGAUUUUUUUUAUUCAAAAAGGAAGGCAAUAGCUUUAUUAGAAAGGGGAGAAAGAAAGGACUAUCUUGGCAGUUAGAAUCUGUAGUGUGGUAGUUAAAGAAUACAAACAAGGGGAGGGAUUUGUGAAUAUCUGGAUCUUUUUGAAACAUAACUGAAGGAAUGUUCUAUACCUGCAUAUUGCCCGUAAAUACAAUAUUAUAUGAAUGGGAAGGACAUAUACUUCAGACAAUUUUUUUUAAAGAAAAGAGAGUGUGACGAUCUCAACAUAGUUUCCCAAGUACAAAGAAACAUCUCUCUACCCUAUCACCUGAGUAAUACCUUGAAGCAUUUUGUUUUCUAUACACAGAAUCAUCUCAGUUCAAAAACCCCACGAAAGCCCUGAUUGGUUGUAUUCUUUCACUGUAUGGUUCUGUAUUAAGAGUGUUAAUCCAUGUUAAAACUUCGUGAAAAUUAUCGUGUACAACAGUAUUUUCUUGUGUACUUUCCCCCCCGUGAAUUGUCCCCUUUUUCUUUUCUUUUUUGUUCUUUUAUUAUUAUUUUUUUCCUUCUGGUAAUGUCUUUGAAAAAAAAGCAGAAAAGAAACUGAUGUGUUGUAGAACUAUAUGUAACCUAUCCUUAGUCACAUAUUAUAGGUAUGUUAUAAGAAUGGAUAUUUUACUUGGCUUUAGAAUGUUUUACAAAAAAAAAAAUCCUAAUUCUUAACCAAUCAAGUUCUUGCUACUAAAAAAAAAAUUGCUUGUGUUUCUCAUCAUGACGUUGUGUGCUUCUAAUUAAUAAUCAUUUUCGUUGUAGAAAAAUGGAGUGAAUUUAUAUUAGACUUGAAAACUAAUAAUAGCAUUGUAAAUUUAUGAGAUGAUUUUAACAGAAAAGAAACCUUAUAGAAGAAUAUAGUUAUUUUAAUUGUAAUAUUACUAACUGUAGGGUGAGAAAGGGGAUCCCAUUGUGGUGAACUAUGUUAUAGCUUGUUAUUCACAGUUUCUUUUUGAUCAUUUUUUCGGUCUCUGAGGUGAAACGAGUUAUUAAUCAGAAUUUGUAAACUCACAUAUGCAUAUUGUAUAUGUGUAGAAAUGUAAUCACACUUUGUCUUGGAAUUACAUUAAACUGUUUUGAGUCACUGCA